Molecule: ribosomal RNA, 356 nt
Filed under: uncultured Fusibacter sp.
Lineage: Bacteria; Bacillati; Bacillota; Clostridia; Eubacteriales; Fusibacteraceae
Description: bacterial SSU rRNA
Rfam family: Bacterial small subunit ribosomal RNA
Source: RNAcentral
AAUUGAGACAGGUGGUGCAUGGUUGUCGUCAGCUCGUGUCGUGAGAUGUUGGGUUAAGUCCCGCAACGAGCGCAACCCUUGUGUUUAGUUGCAAACAGGUCAAGCUGUGCACUCUAGACAGACUGCCGUGGACAACACGGAGGAAGGUGGGGAUGACGUCAAAUCAUCAUGCCCCUUAUGAUCUGGGCUACACACGUGCUACAAUGGCCGGUACAACGGGCAGCGAAGGAGCGAUCCGGAGCGAAUCCUAAAAAGCCGGUCCCAGUUCGGAUUGCAGGCUGAAACUCGCCUACAUGAAGUUGGAGUUGCUAGUAAUCGCGAAUCAGAAUGUCGCGGUGAAUGCGUUCCCGGGUCUU